Molecule: long non-coding RNA, 930 nt
Filed under: Sus scrofa (pig)
Lineage: Eukaryota; Metazoa; Chordata; Mammalia; Artiodactyla; Suidae
Description: lncRNA (ENSSSCG00035040443.1)
Source: RNAcentral
GAAUUCUUUGUUUUUCAUUUUUGCUUUUAUUUCCUCUCCUAUCUCUUCCUCCACUCUCUAGAAGCAAAACACCCUCUGGCAAUGAAAGUUAAAGAUGCUUCUCCAGAGAGGCACCAAGCCAGGGCCUAGAGGGCUGAUCCCCAACCCAUUGCCAACUGCAGUCUAAGCAGUAAUUUUCCUUCCCCCUUACUCUUUUCUGGGAAGUCCUGGGAAAUGCAGAGGUUUCUAAGGCCUCCCUGGAGAGAAACGGAAAUCUUUCCCCUGAUAAGCAUUCCAACUCCUCUUGAAAGAUCUUUUAUUGACACAACUUUGAACGGCUGCUGCAGAGAGGCUGCCUUUUGUGGUCUGCACAAACAAGCAGAGGCAGUGGGCACUAGACAAAUUCCCUGUACUCAUCAGAGAGAAGUUCUGCCCCUUCUGGUCCUCUCUACAACUUGGUUUCUCUGCGCAAAGACACAUGUACUCCAAUGUUCAUUGCAGCACUAUUUGCAAUAGCCAAAACAUGGAAACAACCUAAAUGUCCAUUGACAGAGGAGUGGAUCAAGAAAAUGUGGUACAUAUACACAAUGGAAUAUUACUCAGCCAUUAAAAGGAACGAAAUACCAGCAUUUUUAGCAACAUGGAUGGACCUAGAAAUUAUCAUACUUAGUGAAGUCAGCCAUACAAUGAGACACCAACAUCAAAUGCUUUCACUGACAUGUGAAAUUUGAAAAAAGGACAGACUGAACUUCUCUGUAGAACAGAUGCUGACUCACAGACAUUGAAAAACUUAUGGUCUCUGGAGGAAACCGUGUGGGGGGUAGGGGGACAUGCUUGGGAUGUGGGAUGGAAAUCCUGUGAAAUUGGAUUGUUAUGAUCAUUAUAUAACUACAGAUGUGAUAAAUUCAUUUGAGUAAUAAAAAACAAACAAACAAACUUGGUUUCUCUGUA